CUGUCAUUUUAAGAUGGAGCAGCGUCUGUCUCCAAGUCUCUCCUCUGUUUCUUAACAUUUAAAAGUACACCUAUUUAUACCUUAGGUGUCUCCAUUUUAGGUUACUGUAGUUCAACUAUGAAAAAGUAACACUUCUUUUACUUUAUUCAAUUUAGGUCCUCCCUUAAUUUGGCAAACAUACAAGGCCAUAACUAAAGGGUGUAUACGUCAUGGAAAUUUUCCUGACUUAGUUCAAGAUGGCAUCUUAAAG
Molecule: long non-coding RNA, 250 nt
Filed under: Pelobates cultripes (western spadefoot toad)
Lineage: Eukaryota; Metazoa; Chordata; Amphibia; Anura; Pelobatidae
Source: RNAcentral